UAGCGGCGUAGCUCAGUGGGGAGAGCAAUACCUUGACAGGGUAGAGGUCGGAGGUUCGAUUCCUUCUGCCCCUAGCCA
This 78-nucleotide transfer RNA is filed under the name Armatimonadota bacterium. RNAcentral's name for it is "tRNA-Val". It matches the Rfam family "tRNA". From Rfam's summary of the family: Transfer RNA (tRNA) molecules are approximately 80 nucleotides in length. Their secondary structure includes four short double-helical elements and three loops (D, anti-codon, and T loops). The record is from RNAcentral. Lineage: Bacteria; Bacillati; Armatimonadota.